GAAAUGCGAUAAGUAGUGUGAAUUGCAGAAUUCAGUGAAUCAUCGAAUCUUUGAACGCACAUUGCGCCCGCCAGUACUCUGGCGGGCAUGCCUGUUCGAGCGUCAUUUCAACCCUCAAGCCCUGCUUGGCGUUGGGGCCCUACGGCUGCCGUAGGCCCUGAAAGGAAGUGGCGGGCUCGCUGCAACUCCGAGCGUAGUAAUUCAUUAUCUCGCUAGGGAGGCGCGGCGCGCUCCGGCCGUUAAAGACCCCAUCUUUAACCAAGGUUGACCUCGGAUCAGGUAGGAAUACCCGCUGAACUUAA
This 302-nucleotide unclassified non-coding RNA is filed under the name uncultured Coniochaetales. RNAcentral's name for it is "sequence contains ITS1". The stretch from base 1 to 105 matches the Rfam family "5.8S ribosomal RNA", at positions 50 to 154 of the family's 154-position model. The record is from RNAcentral. Lineage: Eukaryota; Fungi; Ascomycota; Sordariomycetes; Coniochaetales.